AACACUGUUAACCUGCGGUACCUGCGGAAGGAUCAUUACCGAGUGUGAACCCCCCCGUAAAAAAGAGGGGUUACCUCCCGUCCUUUGCUGGGAACCCCUUUCCAACUUGGAAGGAGGUUGUUUUCAGACCCUUCUGCUUCGGUGGGGUAACCCACCGGAACAACCUCAAAAAUAUUCUCAAUUCAAAACCGUUCAGUCCGAGAACUUUUUUGAAAAGCGAAAAAACUUUCAACAACGGAU
This 240-nucleotide unclassified non-coding RNA is filed under the name soil metagenome. RNAcentral describes it as "partial contains 5.8S ribosomal RNA, internal transcribed spacer 2, and large subunit ribosomal RNA". The record is from RNAcentral.